RNAcentral lists this ribosomal RNA (514 nucleotides) under Dysdera sibyllina. Its description in RNAcentral is "partial 16S ribosomal RNA". It matches the Rfam family "Bacterial large subunit ribosomal RNA", at positions 1817 to 2713 of the family's 2925-position model. The record is from RNAcentral. Lineage: Eukaryota; Metazoa; Arthropoda; Arachnida; Araneae; Dysderidae.
AGCUUUACGCUGUUACCUAAAGUAAUUCCUGCUCAGUGAAUAUAAACAGCCGCAGAAUUUUAUACUGUGCUAAGGUAGCAUAAUCACUUGUCUUUUAAUUAAAGAAUAGAAUGAACGGAAAAACGAAUUUUAAACUAUUUCAUUAUUACUUAAUAAAUUUACCAAAAAGUAAAAACACUUUUAAACUAAAAAAAGACGACAAGACCCUAAAGAACUUAACUAAAGUUUAGCUGGGGCGGCUCCAUAAAAAAAUCUUACAUCUCUUUCCUCAAACCCUAAAUUUAUACCAAUGUUACCUUAGGGAUAACAGCAUAAUUUAAUUUUACAGUUCGUAUCCAAAAUUAAGAUUAUGACCUCGAUGUUGAAUUAAAUUUCUUUUAAAAGAAAAAAAUUAACUAGAAAGUCUGUUCGACUUAUAAACCUUUACAUGAUUUGAGUUCAGACCGGUGAAAACCAGGUCGGUUUCUAUCUUUUUUAAAAAUGCAUCAGUACGAAAGGACCAUUCACCUUAUUA